UACGGGAGGCAGCAAGGGGGAAUAUUGCACAAUGGGCGCAAGCCUGAUGCAGCCAUGCCGCGUGUAUGAAAAAGGCCUUCGGGUUGUAAAGUACUUUCAGUCGUGAGGAAGGUGUUAAGGUUAAUAACCUUAGCAAUUGACGUUAGCGACAGAAGAAGCACCGGCUAACUCCGUGCCAGCAGCCGCGGUAAUACGGAGGGUGCGAGCGUUAAUCGGAAUUACUGGGCGUAAAGGGCACGCAGGCGGUUAAUUAAGUUGGAUGUGAAAUCCCCGGGCUUAACCUGGGAAUGGCAUUCAAGACUGGUUAGCUAGAGUCUUGUAGAGGGGGGUUAGAAUUCCAUGUGUAGCGGUGAAAUGCGUAGAGAUGUGGAGGAAUACCGGUGGCGAAGGCGGCCCCUGGACAAAGACUGACGCUCAUGUGCGAAAGCGUGGGGAGCAAACGAGGAUUAGAUACCCGU
RNAcentral lists this ribosomal RNA (458 nucleotides) under uncultured bacterium. RNAcentral's name for it is "bacterial SSU rRNA". It matches the Rfam family "Bacterial small subunit ribosomal RNA", at positions 340 to 790 of the family's 1533-position model. The record is from RNAcentral.